RNAcentral lists this ribosomal RNA (313 nucleotides) under Bacillus anthracis (anthrax bacterium). RNAcentral describes it as "bacterial SSU rRNA". It matches the Rfam family "Bacterial small subunit ribosomal RNA", at positions 1 to 302 of the family's 1533-position model. The record is from RNAcentral. RNAcentral also lists the same sequence under 1 other name. Lineage: Bacteria; Bacillati; Bacillota; Bacilli; Caryophanales; Bacillaceae.
UUAUUGGAGAGUUUGAUCCUGGCUCAGGAUGAACGCUGGCGGCGUGCCUAAUACAUGCAAGUCGAGCGAAUGGAUUAAGAGCUUGCUCUUAUGAAGUUAGCGGCGGACGGGUGAGUAACACGUGGGUAACCUGCCCAUAAGACUGGGAUAACUCCGGGAAACCGGGGCUAAUACCGGAUAACAUUUUGAACUGCAUGGUUCGAAAUUGAAAGGCGGCUUCGGCUGUCACUUAUGGAUGGACCCGCGUCGCAUUAGCUAGUUGGUGAGGUAACGGCUCACCAAGGCAACGAUGCGUAGCCGACCUGAGAGGGUG